This 645-nucleotide ribosomal RNA is filed under the name uncultured Lachnospiraceae bacterium. RNAcentral's name for it is "bacterial SSU rRNA". It matches the Rfam family "Bacterial small subunit ribosomal RNA", at positions 66 to 725 of the family's 1533-position model. Lineage: Bacteria; Bacillati; Bacillota; Clostridia; Lachnospirales; Lachnospiraceae. The record is from RNAcentral.
ACCUGAUUCUUCGGAUGAAAGUUUGGUGACUGAGUGGCGGACGGGUGAGUAACGAGUGGGUAACCUGCCCUGUACAGGGGGAUAACAGCUGGAAACGGCUGCUAAUACCGCAUAAGCGCACGAGGAGACAUCUCCUUGUGUGAAAAACUCCGGUGGUACAGGAUGGGCCCGCGUCUGAUUAGCUGGUUGGCAGGGUAACGGCCUACCAAGGCAACGAUCAGUAGCCGGUCUGAGAGGAUGAACGGCCACAUUGGAACUGAGACACGGUCCAAACUCCUACGGGAGGCAGCAGUGGGGAAUAUUGCACAAUGGGGGAAACCCUGAUGCAGCAACGCCGCGUGAGUGAAGAAGUAUUUCGGUAUGUAAAGCUCUAUCAGCAGGGAAGAUAAUGACGGUACCUGACUAAGAAGCUCCAGCUAAAUACGUGCCAGCAGCCGCGGUAAUACGUAUGGAGCAAGCGUUAUCCGGAUUUACUGGGUGUAAAGGGUGCGUAGGUGGCAGUGCAAGUCAGAUGUGAAAGGCCGGGGCUCAACCCCGGAGCUGCAUUUGAAACUGCAUAGCUAGAGUACAGGAGAGGCAGGCGGAAUUCCUAGUGUAGCGGUGAAAUGCGUAGAUAUUAGGAGGAACACCAGUGGCGAAGGCGGC